AAAAAGACAAACCCUGAGUUUCCGUGUUCAACUUUGACUGUUCGUCUUAUAUGAAAUUUUUUUAUAAUUCUUAUUUUUAUUGUUGUUAGAUGAUAAAACAUAAUUAAUAUUUUAUACGUGACUUAUCUUUUUAAUUUUUUUAAAUAACAUGGACGGUCAAACGUUGGAUACGAAAAUCAGUGUUUGCUUUUUUU
Molecule: microRNA precursor, 194 nt
Filed under: Oryza nivara
Lineage: Eukaryota; Viridiplantae; Streptophyta; Magnoliopsida; Poales; Poaceae
Description: MIR812 microRNA precursor family
Rfam family: MIR812 microRNA precursor family
Source: Rfam by way of RNAcentral